UUCCACCCCUGCCCCGGGCCCCGCGUCCAGGCUGCCCGUGCCUCAAGCAGUCCUAGCCUCUGGGGCACCCGGCUCCCGCCCGCACGGGCCGCAGGCUCUAGGGAACCUCCGCCAGCAGGUGGCGCCGGCAGGAGCCUCGCGCAGACCAGACGGGCAGAAGUAGGACGCAUCCGCGUCUCAGCGCGGAAAUGCGGCCGUGCCGGCGGGCUCCUAACCCCCCUUACUGUGCCGGGACCGAGCCCCGGAAUGAUCUACCAAGAUCACCAGACCGAAGAAAGCCACUCCCGAGAGAAGACAGAAAGGACAAGACCCCGCCCUUCCUUCCCGGAAGGAAACGGGAAGCGGAAGAUCAGGGACGGGAAUGUGGAGGGGCGCAAGGAGCCCCUUCUGCAGGGUCCGCCGAGGGCCCGGGUGUGUGUGCUGGAGAUCUGUGUGCACCUGGGGCAGGGUCCGCAUGAGCAGGUCUCCAGAGGCCUCUCUGGGGCCAGUGGCAGCUCUGAUGUCCAAGCGUAUACCCUCGAUGGUGCCUCUGAGUCACAGCUUCACUAAUUCUGUCCUGUUCUGGGAGCCACUGUAGAAGCCUCAAUCCUGAAUCUGAUUGUGUAAGCCCCCAAAUUCCUGGACUCAAUCCCUUUUGGCUUGAAGUACGUAGACUGGAGACUUUUUCCUUUACUGAAUCUUGACAUACAAGAUGCAAGUUGAGUUAAGAACAGUUAUGGUGUCAACUUCAUUCAACAGACAUUUAAUGAGUGCAAACUAUUUCACCUGGCACUGUACCCAGCACAGCGACCUCAUGCAAGCUGGUGCACCAUGUCCUGACAUGGUGGUGAAAGAGCCAUUGUGCCUUGGCCUUCUGGAUGACUCACUUGGGGAGAAGUCAUUGCUGUGCCAUGAGGACACACCAGCAGCCCUGGGGAGCUGAGGACUCCUGCCAAGCGCCAGCAUCAACUGCCAGCCACGUGAGUGAACCUCCUUGGAAGCAGGUCCUCCAGCCUCAGCCAAGCCUUCAGAUGAUAACAGCCCAGGCUGACAUCCAAUUACAGUCCCAUGAGAGACCCCAGGCCAGGAGAACCCAGCCAAGCCACUCCUGAAUUCCUGACCCCUAGAUAUUGUGAGAGGUUAAUGAAUUGAUAUGGUUGCUUUAAACUGCUAAGUUUUGAGACAAUAUGCAUUGCAGCAGAAAUAGCCAACAUAUAUCCCUAGCAAUAAUGUAGUUUCUAGAACACAGCAGGUGCUCAGGAAAUGUUUAAUGGAUGAAUGAAUGAAGCUUCUAGAAGAAAGGCUACAAGUCAGACAUGACUACUGAUGAGAAAGAGGGAACGGGUGACCAUGGCCAGGAGAGCUAACGUUCCAAACUUGGAAAGAUAAAGUGUAGCCCAGAAACUUGAGAAUUCAGGAAAUGUCAUUACACUUCAUUUUCUUCAAAUCUGCAUAAAUUGACCCCAAGUCAUUAUUACCCAAGAUCCCUCUCUAACCCACCUCAACGUCACCCAAGGAUCUGGGAAAAUGUCCGCUGCGGGAAAAGAGCCUCUCCUCUCCAAAUCUGUGAUGGCCAUUGAUGAUAGCUUCAAGGCUCACACACCAUGAUUCCUGAAAGCCAGGUUACACUACAGCCAUCAGGACUAUCUUGGGAGUCCCCGUGUCUACAAUACAGUCUCUUAGACCCCCAGAAAAGCCAUUCUCUUCUGAGGUCUCACACUCAUUCAGUCAUUCAACAAAUAUUUAUCAGGUGCUCUAUUAGUUAGGGUCCUCUAGAUAGACAGAACAAGUAGGAUAUGUGUAAGAGAGGGUGAGGAGAGAGGGACUGAUUUUAAGGAAUUGGCUUAUGUGUUUAGAGCUGGCAAGCCCAGAAUCUGCAGCACAGGCCAUCAGUCUGGAGACCCAGGGAAGGGCUGAUGGUGCAGCUCAAGCCCAAAGGCCAUCUGCCAGCAGAAUUUUCUUUCCUUCAGGAGAGGUCAAGUCUUUUUUCACUUAAAGCCUUCAACUGAUUAGAUGAGACCCAGCCACAUUACUGAGGGCAAUCUGCUUUACUCAAAUUCUACUGAUUUAAAUGAUAAUCUCAACUAAAAGGUACCUUCACAGUAACAUCCAGAUUCGUGUUUGGCCCUGCUCCCAGGCCCCAGCCCCUCCACCCCCUCCCCACCACGGCCAUCACUCCUCAGAAGUUCCCCUUCCACCUCCCCCAACCCAAUUCCUCCAAGGAGCCCAGACUUAGAAAACAAAAGCCAGAAGGAAGAGUGUUUGUGAGGAACUUCUCUUUUGGCGACACACAUCUCAUCUGCGUAAGCAAGAGAACACAGAAGACCUGGCUGCUUUCUUGGAAAAGGGUGCGGUGGGGAAAAUAUAAAUAGACCAAAAAUUAAUUUCUCAAAAAUUCAAACAGCCACAGAAAUAGCAGCUGCUCCCCACAUCCCACUCCCAGCCGGGCUCUUGAGGUAGGAUUGGGGGUGAGGAGAGGGAUGAAGGGAGAAGCAGCAGGAAAUCUCCAAUUCUUAGAACCCUCUGAUUCAGGAGAACUCACUAAUUUCCUGACAAAAACAAAAGAAAUUCUCCCCCCAAGCUGUCAGACUUCCUCUUCCCAAUACAUCCAACUUUCCGUGGGAAAGGCAAAAGGAAGUCUCUCUACUCACACCCGCUCAGAGACGGGAGCCCAGCACUCCCUCGAGAGAAAGCUACCACACCAAUCUGCAGCCAGAUCAUGGGAGCCACCCCAGAGAGAUCGGAGGCCGUGAUGGCUGCACCCAGAGAGGGGGAGACAGAAAGGGGCACUGGCCUCCUGUGACUGAGCUUCUGUGGACUUGAAGCAGGAAAGCUGGAGGGGGAAGAAGUAAGCCCACACCCAGUCCUCUCCUUAAGGACUGGGAGCUUAAACCAGACCUGCUGCAGGAGAGGGUGGGCAUGGCUCCAGGCCAGAGAGACAAGAAGAGACCUGCUUCUGACCCUCACCUUUCCCUCCCUCCCCCUCUCAUGCUCCACACACACAACACCCUCAGAGAAGAUGGUAUCUGUGAAAUUGAAAUCAAUUCAGCCCAACAAACCGGUGUGCAUUAAAUGUUCUUCUCCGUGAUAGAUGCUCUGCCACGUGCUGGGAAUGCCAAGAGAAAUAAAAUGCAGCCCUGCCCUCUGGAAGCUGAUUCAAGGUUACGGCAUGAUCUCUGGUAUACCACUCAUACGAAUAGUACAAUAAGGGCACAGAAGAGGAAAAGCUUAAUUCAGCCCAGUGGCUGGCGGGGAAGGAAGCUUUGUCAGAGAAAAGAGCCGGAACCUCAUCCCACAGGCAGUUUUUAAACUUCGGUGUUCUUAAACAGGAACAUGUGCCUGUGAACUCUUUGGGAAAGAUAACCCAGGUAUCAGCAGGGGAUGGGUUGGGGUGAGUUGGACACAGAUUGCUUGUGAAGAGAAAAUAUGAGCAACUGCAGGAGUCCAGGUCAGUGGUCCAGGUUUGACGUGUUGCCAGCCCCUUUGAAGGCAAGGGCAGUGAGGACAGGGAAGAGAGGGCAGAUCAGAGGGAGGUUUUAGGCAGAUACCAAGGCCUGGGGUACGGCUGGAUGGGGUGGAUGGUGGAUGCAGGGACAGAUCGCCCCCAGGUUUCUAACUUGGAGGAGAAAGGGUCCUAAUGCAAGCCCCAGGAAGGCAGGGCAGGGUCUGGCUCAUCCUAGCCUUAGUACAGUGACUGAUGCUUAGAAGGUAUGGGAUCACGCAUGUGGGCAGAAUGGGCAGAAGAAUAAACACACAGCGAUAGAAGAGGAAACGUGUGGUAAGCUCUCCCGGUGCCUUGCAGGAACAGCUGCAUUUCACCAAAGGGCACAUCACACGCAGCAUCCUGGAGGGAGAGGUUUCUUGCUGGGGGGACCUGGCACUUACUCCUGCUCUGUCUGGCUUUGAGGUUAAAUGAAAAGCUUGGACCCAGUGGUGAGUGAGAACCGCAAAUCCUAGAACGGAAUGGGAGCCAUUAGAAGGCAGCAGGCACAGCGACGGCAGUGGAACCAGCAAGAAGACAGUGAAAGGACUGAAAUCUAUUAACGGCAAGAAACCCAUCACUGGGUCUGAGGCCAGGAAAAGGGAUUUGCAGAGAAAAUUCUAUUUAGGGUGUAUUUCCCUCUUAUCGCAGUAAACGGGCUGCUAAAAUGUAUUGCUCUGUAUUAAAAACAUGCUGUCCUUUUAGAAUGUCACAGACACCGGUGCAUUCUAUCUGCUGUGUGUACAUAAAGAGAGAAACGGAUCCACGGCUCCCAUUCAUAAACGCAGGGCCUCACGUGUGCGCAUCAAGGUGGCAGCCGGGCCGCCUCCACAGCAGACACCUCUUCUCAAGGUAGGGCUGACACUCCACUUAGGGAUUACCCUGCAGCCUGUGCAUCUGCAUAAACUCCACCCCUUCCUUUUUAAAACAGUUUUUAUUUAUUUUAAAAUUGCUAUAUGGCAAAAUUAGCUUUUUUUCUGUUGGUCUAUAGCCCUACAGACCACGUGGAUUUCUCCCCGUGUGUAGAGUCAUGUGGCUACCACCCAAUCAGGACAUGUAAUAGUUCCAUUACCCAAAACACUCCUUCACACUGCCGCUUUACCCUCCAACGCUCACUCAAUCAUAGCCCCUACAACCACUGGCUGUUUUCUAUCACUAUAAUUUUGUCUUUUCUAAUAUAGCAAAUAAAUGGAACCUCAGAGUACACAACCUUUUGAGACUGGCUUCUUUCACUCAGCGCAGUGAGAUCUGCCCAAGCCAUUGCCUACCCAAGCCUCUCUUCGUAGCGCAUUCUUUUUUCCCUGGAGCUGUGUCCCAUGGCGUGGGUGGGCUACAGUUUGCACCGGUGCUCUUUGGGUCUACUUCGUAAAAGCUCAGCACCUUUCUCACAGGGCGGGCCAAGAAAGAAAGAAGGGAAGACACCGUGCGACCGUCCCUCUUCUUCAUUAUGUAAGAGUGGAUUGAGUGUCCUCCGUAUUUUCACUUUACGUGACUGGGAUGUGUGAGAACAAAGCAGGCUGCGGUUCUUGCCCGCAUGGGCUUCUGUUCUUGCGGGAGGAGACGGAGUUGGGGGUGGUGAAUGACGCACAGACUAAGUAAGUGGUGUGGUGUGUCCGGCGGCGGGGGCCUACGGGGAAAACAGAGAAGGGGAGAGGAGUCAGAAGUGUGUGCAGGAGGCUGUAGCUGUAAACGGAGGGGGCCGGAGUCAGAGAUGCCUCUUUGAGAAGGGGACCUUCGUGCAAAGACUUGAAGGGUGUCAGCCUCCCUGCACCCCGCGGAACGGAAGCCUGCCUGGCGGGGGAAGCACUGGAAGGGAAAGGCUGGACAGACUUGGCCAGAGAGAAGUCAACUAAAUAAGGUGCACUUGGGGGCAGAAGGUGUUUCUCCAAGCCCGGCGCUCGGCCACCCAGUGCUGCCCCGGUGCCUUCUGGCUGCGACAUCUCAGAGCACCCAGGACUACGGCCUCUGACUGCUCUCAGUAGCCAUGCCCGGGAGAGGUCCUGGAAGCCGGAUCAGGCAGAUGCACAGUGGACAGCCCGCCGCAAGCCUCCCCAGCCUCUGGGGAGCUGUGAUGCCCUCGCAGCCUCACCAGCCCAGGACUCCAGGCCCUGACUCAAUGACUUCAUUCUCCUCCUAGGUAAUUGGCAUUCUAGUCAAACUCUGCCAGCAGCAGCCUGAGCUGCUGAGGGGACCAUGGAGAAAAUACCAGGG
Callithrix jacchus (white-tufted-ear marmoset) is the source of this 5671-nucleotide non-coding RNA. The record is from RefSeq and is a predicted model, not a curated record. Lineage: Eukaryota; Metazoa; Chordata; Mammalia; Primates; Cebidae.